This 107-nucleotide ribosomal RNA is filed under the name Microcyclosporella mali. RNAcentral's name for it is "partial 18S ribosomal RNA". It matches the Rfam family "Eukaryotic small subunit ribosomal RNA", at positions 1726 to 1831 of the family's 1831-position model. Lineage: Eukaryota; Fungi; Ascomycota; Dothideomycetes; Mycosphaerellales; Mycosphaerellaceae. The record is from RNAcentral.
GGUCGGCAACGACCACCCAGGGCCGGAAAGUUGGUCAAACUCGGUCAUUUAGAGGAAGUAAAAGUCGUAACAAGGUCUCCGUAGGUGAACCUGCGGAGGGAUCAUUA